This is an RNA transcript of Musa acuminata AAA Group (dessert banana), 2076 nucleotides long. RefSeq lists it as uncharacterized. The transcript has 7 exons. The record is from RefSeq and is a predicted model, not a curated record. Lineage: Eukaryota; Viridiplantae; Streptophyta; Magnoliopsida; Zingiberales; Musaceae.
ACUGCACUGUAGUAGCAAGUUCCUCCAUGGCUUUUGUACUUUUGCCAGUAGCUACUGAUGGAAAAUAGCAAGGUUUCUUUGGUUGGAAUUGGAUCAUCCUGCAAUCUGCAACAGCAUCUGGUGUUUGUUCAUGUGCUGUUCUCUUUUCCAUAGGAAGCUAUAAGGUAUUUCUUUCCAAAAUUGUCGAUUCAAUCUUCAACAAAAGAUUGAUAUGAUAAUUAAGAUAAUAAAUGAAAAUGGGGUGAAAAUUUUUUGGAGGGACCGUUUCAACUUUAUUGUAUGUAGACACACCAACAUACUUGCACAUCAUGAUAUUAUUGAUCAAUAUGUCAUAUAUUUCGAUUCAAGCAAAUUAAUUGCAUGAAUAAGAUUGGUUAAUAAGUAUUCAUGAGUUCAGUUAUCAUUUACAUUUAAUUGCUUAUUACGAACUACAAAAAAUUUAUCAUGCAGAGGAGUCGUCACUUAAUUAUCGAAUCAAGCAAUAAAUAGUAUUGCUUGUCAUUUGAUUUUAAUUGCCAGAAGAAAGGAUAAAUACAAGUUAAUUUUACUUUCUUUGGUGAUAUUUAUUAACUUGUAAAUAGACUGCCUGCAAUUAUAAAAUUAAUUGUCAAUCAAUUACUCAAUAAUUACUUUAUAAUAUAUAUUAAAUGACUUAUUAUAGAUAGCACUAAAUCUUACAAUUAAUAAAAUGAACCGUAGAAAAUUUAAAAUGGAUCUGACGUCAUGGACAAAAAAUCCGAUAAUAUCAAUGUCGGACACGAAUUUUAGUUGGAUCCGACCCGAUAACAUCCCUCUCGAGGCUCUCUUAACUCUUCGGCUCGGGUCCAAACCUUCGCUUCGCAGCCGGCGGAAGGAGACCAGAAGGCAAUUGGCGCCGACGAUGGAUCCCAGGAUGUGGCACAAGGUCGCUGCAAUCUCCGGUGUUGCUGCUAUCGGUCUGGGGACUUACGGCGCUCAUGGUUUCAAGCCCAAGAACCCAUCUUACGAGGAGGUUUGGCGUACCGCCUCCCUCUACCACUUGGUCCAUACGGCCGCCCUAGUGGGAGCUCCCAUCGCCAAACGCCCCAACAUCUUUGGAGGGCUUCUAACUACCGGUAUCGUCGGGUUCUCGGGAACGUGCUACACGGUGGCUUAUCUUGAAGACAGAAAGAUCUCUUUUAUUGCACCAUAUGGUGGAUUUGCAUUUCUUGCUGCUUGGGCUAGCUUACUCUUCUGACACGCAAUGGAUCAUCAACAUUUGAGGUGUCAUAUUGCAUUGGAGCUAUUUGGGAAGUUUGUCCUCGGUUAUGUCAAGGGAGCGACUGGAAGUGGCAGCAACAUCAACUGCAAGAAAGAACCAAUGAGAAGCACCAAUCUUCCGUGGUCAAGGUCAGUAUCUGAUGAACAUCACCCUCGGAACUCCACCGUUUACUCUUCCGGUCAUCUUCGACGUGGGAAGUGGAGUGACUUGGGUGCAAUCGACUCCUUGCGUGGAGUGUUGCGAGCAGGAUUACCCCUUGUAUGAUCGUAGCAAGUCAUCCUCGUACAAACCGGUGGGCUGUUCCACCAAGACAUGCAAGUACGAUGGCUACCAGACGAAGUGCGUCAACGCCAGCUGCGUGUACGCCGUGGGCUACGCCGACAAUUCCUACUCUGUCGGCAAGGUCGGCACCGAGUACUUCACCUUCGUCGGCACUGAUGACGAUCUCAAAGCAGGCAUGGUGGAGAUGUCCUUCGACGUGGGGCUCCAAAACGACGGGACAUUCGACUUACUGCGUUCAGCUGCAUGACAUUACGAUGGGCAUCAAGAAGCUGCACAUUCCGCUGGGGACGUUCGACUUGAACCGCGGCGGCCUCAUUCUCGACACCGGCACUCCCUUGACGUAUCUUUAUAGGGAACCGUUCGAUAUGGUACACGAGGAGCUGGACAAGUAGGUGAAGUUGAAGCGCGUCGACGGGUGGACUCGCCGACAAUGCUUCUACGGGAACUACGACCAUUUGGACGACGGUGGCAGUGCACAGAUUCCAUUUCGAGGCGUUGGAAGUGACCGUGGCACCCACGUUAUAUUUCACGGUAGAAGGCAAUUACGUUUGCUC